GAUGAACGCUGGCGGCGUGCCUAAUACAUGCAAGUCGAGCGAACGGACGAGAAGCUUGCUUUUCUGAUGUUAGCGGCGGACGGGUGAGUAACACGUGGGUAACCUACCUAUAAGACUGGGAUAACUUCGGGAAACCGGUGCUAAUACCGGAUAAUAUUUUGAACCGUAUGGUUCAAAAGUGAAAGACGGUCUUGCUGUCAUUUAAAGAUGGAUCCCCGCUGCAUUAGCUAGUUGGUAAGUUAACGGCCUACCAAGGGAACGAUGCAGAGCCGACCUGAGGGGGUGACCGGCCACACUGGAACUGAGACACGGUCCAGCCUCCUACGGGAGGCAGCAGUAGGGAAUCUUGGGCAAUGGGCGAAAGCCUGCCGGAGCAAGGCGGCGUGAGUGAUGAAGGUCUUCGAAUCGUAAAACUCUGUUAUUAGGAAAGAACAUAUGUGUAAGUAAAUGUGCACAUAUUGACGGUAACUAAUCAGAAAGCCACGGCUAACUACGUG
This 497-nucleotide ribosomal RNA is filed under the name uncultured bacterium. Its description in RNAcentral is "partial 16S ribosomal RNA". It matches the Rfam family "Bacterial small subunit ribosomal RNA", at positions 28 to 507 of the family's 1533-position model. The record is from RNAcentral.